RNAcentral lists this ribosomal RNA (198 nucleotides) under Lentimicrobiaceae bacterium. RNAcentral describes it as "partial 23S ribosomal RNA". It matches the Rfam family "Bacterial large subunit ribosomal RNA", at positions 2715 to 2925 of the family's 2925-position model. Lineage: Bacteria; Pseudomonadati; Bacteroidota; Bacteroidia; Bacteroidales; Lentimicrobiaceae. The record is from RNAcentral.
UGCCUGUUGUGGCGCCAGCUGCAUCGCAGGGUAGCUAUGUAUGGAUGAGAUAAGUGCUGAAAGCAUCUAAGCACGAAACUUAGCCCAAGAUGAGACUUCCUUUAAGGGUCGUUCUAGACCAGAACGUUGAUAGGCUGCAGGUGUAAAGUCAGAAAUGGCAAAGCUGAGCAGUACUAAUUACCCGUAUGCUUCCUUCAC